Dendronephthya gigantea is the source of this 1140-nucleotide long non-coding RNA. RefSeq lists it as uncharacterized. The transcript is spliced from 3 exons. The record is from RefSeq and is a predicted model, not a curated record. Lineage: Eukaryota; Metazoa; Cnidaria; Anthozoa; Malacalcyonacea; Nephtheidae.
AAACCUUUGAAUACGUACAAUCCAGAAAGUCAGUUUAUACAAGACCUUCGAGAGAAAGAAGUCAAGCUGCUCAACGGAUUAAUGGAUUAACAAAAGAACGCGAACAGUUGAUUAAAAUUGGGAAAUAAGCUGACAGCUGAAUUGUUGAAAUAUAAAGUAACACGAAUUGAAGGACAUUGAAUAAGAGACACACUCUGUUGUGACUUUUAAAUACAAGGAAAUAAAAUGGUGUCUUAUACUUACAAUGUCUGGUUCGUCAACAAAAACUAGCUGGUUCGGAUGCAAGCAAUCUAUGACAAUAUAUUCCUCGUGUUGGGAUAAUAUUACACUGCACGUUGGACUACCGAAACGGCAAGGCUUCACAUUAUCCCUGUUUAAAAACGUCUGAAACGUUUUCAUAACGUCUGAAACGUUUUCACUCUCCAUACUUUCCAAAUUUAAUUUGGCGCGAAAAAUUAGAUAACAUACAUGGCUGCUGCUCCCGGAUUCACUGAUAGUUCUGGUGUUACGAAGAACUUCACUGCUCCCGGAUUGACUGAUAGUUCUGGUGUUACGAAGAACUUCACUUACAAGUUGGUUAUAAAUUGCACACCUCAGGUAUCAAAGCAGAAAUUGUUGACUUCCCAACACGAAACUGAUACUAAAGAAAAUUUAAAAACACAUAUCUUUUAACUUGGCUUGGCUUAUACCUCAAAUGUAUUUGUGUCCAUCCUCAAAUACCCUCGGUAGCUUUCUUCGUCUUCGAGCCUCAUUUCUUGGACGAGGGCGUGAUAAGCGCCUCUUUCGUUUCUUCUGGCAAUCCAACUCUUUUGCCACAUAUUACGUUUCCUGUCUUUGCGUGCCUUUCUUCUUUUCACCACAACGUAACGGCAACCAACAUAGCAGCAGCAGCAAGUUUCUUAGCUUCCUCGUCAGCCAUUUAAACCCAUUGAUUUAAACCUCAUUUUGGGAAUUUGUUUAUGGUUGAAACACCUAUACGUUUCUUUACGCUGGCCACCUACCUCCCCCCUAAGCCCGUCAAAAAAAAUAUCGGGUUGUCUGAACAGUCCACCAAAAAUCGGGCCGUACGUAGUUUUGGUUUACAUACAACUUUCAAUUAAUACAAAGAAAUUUACCAUACAAAUUAGUGAAAUUACAAUA